This 211-nucleotide long non-coding RNA is filed under the name Hordeum vulgare. RNAcentral's name for it is "long non-coding RNA (HVUL_LNC000536)". The record is from RNAcentral. Lineage: Eukaryota; Viridiplantae; Streptophyta; Magnoliopsida; Poales; Poaceae.
CGAUUCAGUACGAAGCGGGUCAAAUUUGAACUGCAGCUACAUUAUAGUUUUCGCUUUAUUUUUUCCAAAAAUAGUUUUAGGUACAAAACUAUCUAUUUAAUGAGAUAAACACCAAAAAAUUUCCAAGAUUCAACCACUAGAUAGGAACGGUCAUACCCGCCGUUUUGACCGCAUUUUCAAACAUGCAUGAAAAAAUAUAAAAAAUAAAAAA